Molecule: ribosomal RNA, 404 nt
Filed under: uncultured prokaryote
Description: bacterial SSU rRNA
Rfam family: Bacterial small subunit ribosomal RNA
Source: RNAcentral
UGAGGAAUCUUCCACAAUGGGCGAAAGCCUGAUGGAGCAACGCCGCGUGCAGGAUGAAGGCCUUCGGGUCGUAAACUGCUUUUAUAAGUGAAGAAUAUGACGGUAGCUUAUGAAUAAGCACCGGCUAACUACGUGCCAGCAGCCGCGGUCAUACGUAGGGUGCAAGCAUUAUCCGGAGUGACUGGGCGUAAAGAGUUGCGUAUGUGGACAAGUUAGCGAAUAGUGAAAUCUGGUGGCUCAACCACACAGACUAUUAUUCGAACUGCUUGUCUCGAGAGUAGCAGAGGUAACUGGAAUUUCUAGUGUAGGAGUGAAAUCCGUAGAUAUUAGAAGGAACACCAAUGGCGUAGGCAGGUUACUGGGCUAUUUCUGACACUAAGGCACGAAAGCGUGGGGAGCGAACC